This 332-nucleotide ribosomal RNA is filed under the name uncultured eukaryote. RNAcentral describes it as "partial 18S ribosomal RNA". It matches the Rfam family "Eukaryotic small subunit ribosomal RNA", at positions 1470 to 1796 of the family's 1831-position model. The record is from RNAcentral.
CCCUUAGAUGUCCUGGGCUGCACGCGCGCUACACUGGAAGUUACGGAUUGAGAUACUACCUUGUCCGAAAUGGUCCGGGUAAUCACCUAAAAGCUUGUCAUAAUUGGAAUGGAUUAUUGUAACUAGUAAUCCUGAACGAGGAAUUCCUAGUAAGUCCCAGUCAACAGCUGGUACUGAUUACGUCCCUGCCCUUUGUACACACCGCCCGUCGCUACUACUGAUUGGACGUUUAAGCAAGAUUUUUAAACACUGACAGUGUGUAGUUCAUGCUAUACUACAGUGAGAAGAAGAAGAUCGAGCUUACUUGUCUAGAGGAAGUAAAAGUCGUAACA